Molecule: ribosomal RNA, 408 nt
Filed under: uncultured bacterium
Lineage: Bacteria
Description: partial 16S ribosomal RNA
Rfam family: Bacterial small subunit ribosomal RNA
Source: RNAcentral
GACGAACGCUGGCGGCGUGCUUAACACAUGCAAGUCGAACGAAGUGGAGAACGGGAGAGUAGUGCGUGGGUAACCUGACCUCCUCUUUGGGAUAGGCCUUGGCAACGGGGUAUAAUACCGAAUAAAGUGGGGUGGGCUCGGGGCCUAUCAGCUUGUUGGUGGGGUGGUGGCCUUACAAGGCGGUGACGGGUAGUCGGCCUGAGAGGGUGGCCGGGCAAAUGUGGACUGAGGGACGGCCCAGAAUCCUACGGGAGGGAGGAGUGGGGGAUAAUGCAAAAUGGGCGAAAGCCUGAUUCCGCGACGGCGCGUUGGGGAUGAAGGCUUUCGGGGUGUAAACCUUUUUCGGUAUCGAACGGGUAGGUGGAGAAGAAGCGCCGGCUAACUACGUGCCAGCCGCCGCGGUAAUUC